Molecule: long non-coding RNA, 598 nt
Organism: Megachile rotundata (alfalfa leafcutting bee)
Lineage: Eukaryota; Metazoa; Arthropoda; Insecta; Hymenoptera; Megachilidae
Source: RefSeq, a predicted model, not a curated record
UCUAAUUAGUGACGCGCAUGAAUUGAUUAACGAGAUUCCCAAUCUGUCCCUAUCUACUUUCUAGCGAAACCACUGCCAAGGGAACGGGCUUGGAAAAAUUAGCGGGGAAAGAAGACCCUGUUGAGCUUGACUCUAGUCUGGCACUCUAAGGAGACAUGAGAGGUGUAGCGUAAGUGGGAGAUGUCAUGUCGCCGGUGAAAUACCACUACUUUCAUAGUUUCUUUACUUACUCGGUAAGGCGGAACGCGUGCACCGUGGUUUCGACCCGGUUGUCACGGUAUUCUUGAACCAAGCGUAUAAGAGUGGUGUUGAAAGCUCGUGGGCCGAUCACCAAUAAUAACUCCUGCGUGAUCCGAUUGGAGGACACUGCCAGGCGGGGAGUUUGACUGGGGCGGUACAUCUGUCAAAGAAUAACGCAGGUGUCCUAAGGCCAGCUCAGCGAGGACAGAAACCUCGCGUAGAGCAAAAGGGCAAAAGCUGGCUUGAUCUCGAUGCUCAGUACGCAUAGAGACAGCGAAAGCACGGCCUAUCGAUCCUUUUGGCUUGAAGAGUUUUCAGCAAGAGGUGUCAGAAAAGUUACCACAGGGAUAACUGGUUU